RNAcentral lists this ribosomal RNA (568 nucleotides) under Sclerophrys dodsoni. RNAcentral describes it as "partial 16S ribosomal RNA". It matches the Rfam family "Bacterial large subunit ribosomal RNA", at positions 1817 to 2597 of the family's 2925-position model. The record is from RNAcentral. Lineage: Eukaryota; Metazoa; Chordata; Amphibia; Anura; Bufonidae.
CGCCUCUUGCUUGUAAUAAGAGGUCCAGCCUGCCCAGUGACCAUGUUCAACGGCCGCGGUAUCCUAACCGUGCGAAGGUAGCGUAAUCACUUGUUCUCUAAUUGUGGACUAGUAUGAAAGGCAUCACGAAGGUUAUACUGUCUCCUUUUCCUAAUCAGUGAAACUAAUCUUCCCGUGAAGAAGCGGGAAUGAUACUAUAAGACGAGAAGACCCUAUGGAGCUUUAAACAACAUAGCAGCUCCCACAAUGAUUAAAAUUUUUCUGAAUAAUUAACUUUAUCAGGUAGUAUGACUAUAAGUUUUUGGUUGGGGUGACCGCGGAGCAUAAAACAACCUCCAUGCUGAAAGAACUUCUAUUCUAAGCCAAGAUUAACCUAUCUAAGCAUCAAUAAAUUGACACUAAUUGACCCAAUACAGUUGAUCAACGAACCAAGUUACCCUAGGGAUAACAGCGCAAUCCACUUCAAGAGCUCCUAUCGACAAGUGGGUUUACGACCUCGAUGUUGGAUCAGGGUUUCCCAGUGGUGCAGCCGCUACUAAAGGUUCGUUUGUUCAACGAUUAAAACCCU